GAUGAACGCUAGCGGCAGGCCUAACACAUGCAAGUCGAGGGGUAACUAGAGUGAUAGCAAUAUUACUUUGGCUAGACCGGCGCACGGGUGCGUAACACGUAUGCAACCUACCUUAUACUGGGGAAUAACUUCGAGAAAUCGGCGCUAAUACCCCAUAACAUUGCGAAGAGGCAUCUCUUUGCAUUUAAAGCUCCGGCGGUAUAAGAUGGGCGUGCGUCCAAUUAGCUAGUUGGUGAGGUAACGGCUCACCAAGGCUACGAUUGGUAGGGGUUCUGAGAGGAUGAUCCCCCACACUGGUACUGAGACACGGACCAGACUCCUACGGGAGGCAGCAGUGAGGAAUAUUGCGCAAUGGACGAAAGUCUGACGCAGCCAUGCCGCGUGCAGGAAGACGGCCCUACGGGUUGUAAACUGCUUUUGUACGGGAAUAAACCCCACUACGAGUAGUGGGCUGCAUGUACCGUAAGAAUAAGGAUCGGCUAACUCCGUGCCAGCCGCCGCGGUAA
RNAcentral lists this ribosomal RNA (506 nucleotides) under uncultured bacterium. RNAcentral describes it as "partial 16S ribosomal RNA". It matches the Rfam family "Bacterial small subunit ribosomal RNA", at positions 28 to 523 of the family's 1533-position model. The record is from RNAcentral.